RNAcentral lists this unclassified non-coding RNA (404 nucleotides) under soil metagenome. Its description in RNAcentral is "partial contains 5.8S ribosomal RNA, internal transcribed spacer 2, and large subunit ribosomal RNA". The stretch from base 1 to 122 matches the Rfam family "5.8S ribosomal RNA", at positions 35 to 154 of the family's 154-position model. The record is from RNAcentral.
GAUGAAGAACGUAGCAAAAUGCGAUACUUGGUGUGAAUUGCAGAAUCCCGUGAACCAUCGAGUUUUUGAACGCAAGUUGCGCCCGAAGCCUUUUGGCCGAGGGCACGUCUGCCUGGGCGUCACGCAUCGCGUCGCCCCCCACAAUUCUCUGUAAAGGGAACUCGCGUUUUGGGGGCGGAUAAUGGUCUCCCGUGCUCAUGGCGUGGUUGGCCGAAAUAGGAGUCCCUUCGAUGGACGCACGAACUAGUGGUGGUCGUAAAAACCCUCGUCUUUUGUUUCGUGCCGUUAGUCGCAAGGGAAACUCUAAGAAAACCCCAACGUGUCGUCUCUUGACGACGCUUCGACCGCGACCCCAGGUCAGGCGGGACUACCCGCUGAGUUUAAGCAUAUCAAUAAGCGGAGGA